AAUCUUCCGCAAUGGGCGAAAGCCUGAUGCAGCGACGCCGCGUGAGGGAUGACGGCCUUCGGGUUGUAAACCUCUUUCAGCAGGGAAGAAGCGAAAGUGACGGUACCUGCAGAAGAAGCACCGGCUAACUACGUGCCAGCAGCCGCGGUAAUACGUAGGGUGCGAGCGUUGUCCGGAAUUAUUGGGCGUAAAGAGCUUGUAGGCGGUUUGUCGCGUCUGCCGUGAAAAUCCGGGGCUCAACCCCGGACUUGCGGUGGGUACGGGCAGACUAGAGUGUGGUAGGGGAGACUGGAAUUCCUGGUGUAGCGGUGAAAUGCGCAGAUAUCAGGAGGAACACCGGUGGCGAAGGCGGGUCUCUGGGCCGAUACUGACGCUGAGGAGCGAAAGCGUGGGGAGCGAAC
This 401-nucleotide ribosomal RNA is filed under the name uncultured bacterium. RNAcentral describes it as "bacterial SSU rRNA". It matches the Rfam family "Bacterial small subunit ribosomal RNA", at positions 360 to 773 of the family's 1533-position model. The record is from RNAcentral.